This 494-nucleotide ribosomal RNA is filed under the name uncultured bacterium. RNAcentral's name for it is "partial 16S ribosomal RNA". It matches the Rfam family "Bacterial small subunit ribosomal RNA", at positions 28 to 507 of the family's 1533-position model. The record is from RNAcentral.
GACGAACGCUGGCGGCGUGCUUAACACAUGCAAGUCGAACGGUGAAGCGCCUUCCUUUUUGGUGGGUGUGGAUGAGUGGCGAACGGGUGAGUAACACGUGAGUAACCUGCCCCCUUCUUCUGGAUUACCGCAUGAAAGUGUGGCUAAUACGGGAUAUUCUGGGUCUGUCGCAUGAUUGGUCUGGGAAAGAUUUUGUUUCGGUGGGGGAUGGGCUCGCGGCCUAUCAGCUUGUUGGUGGGGUGAUGGCCUACCAAGGCGGUGACGGGUAGCCGUCCUGAGAGGGUGGACGGUCACACUGGGAGUGAGACACGGCGCAGAAUACUAAGGGAGGCAGCAGUGGGGAAUAUGGCACAAUGGGCGCGAGCCUGAUGCAGCGACGCCGCGUGAGGGAUGGAGGCCUUCGGGUUGUGAACCUCUUUCGCGAGUGAAGAAGGCCUGCCGCGUUUGUGGGUGGGUUGACGGUAGCUGGAUAAGAAGCGCCGGCUAACUACGUG